AUUGAACGCUGGCGGCAGGCCUAACACAUGCAAGUCGAACGGUAACAGGAAGAAGCUUGCUUCUUUGCUGACGAGUGGCGGGCGGGUGAGUAAUGUCUGGGAAACUGCCUGAUGGAGGGGGAUAACUACUGGAAACGGUAGCUAAUACCGCAUAACGUCGCAAGACCAAAGAGGGGGACCUUCGGGCCUCUUGCCAUCGGAUGUGCCCAGAUGGGAUUAGCUAGUAGGUGGGGUAACGGCUCACCUAGGCGACGAUCCCUAGCUGGUCUGAGAGGAUGACCAGCCACACUGGAACUGAGACACGGUCCAGACUCCUACGGGAGGCAGCAGUGGGGAAUAUUGCACAAUGGGCGCAAGCCUGAUGCAGCCAUGCCGCGUGUGUGAAGAAGGCCUUCGGGUUGUAAAGUACUUUCAGCGGGGAGGAAGGGAGUAAAGUUAAUACCUUUGCUCAUUGACGUUACCCGCAGAAGAAGCACCGGCUAACUCCGUG
RNAcentral lists this ribosomal RNA (490 nucleotides) under uncultured bacterium. RNAcentral's name for it is "partial 16S ribosomal RNA". It matches the Rfam family "Bacterial small subunit ribosomal RNA", at positions 30 to 507 of the family's 1533-position model. The record is from RNAcentral.